UUUCCAUGAAACAAAAAUCUUUAAAAAUUUUAUCUAUUUUUUCCAGGAAUAUCUAUUGUACAGGAAUAUUUAUUGCAUUUUUCCAGGAAUGGUACUGGAUUGUUGAUCAUUUUGCAGAGCUACAAAAAAAAAACUGAAAUUCAAUUUUGCCAGUUCUAUUAAUAUUACGGAUCGAAGUAUAUGGUUCCUUCGAAAUAUAUUACACGAUGUCCCAGGAGAAAGAGGAUGCUUUUGUUUCGAGAGCUAUGUGAGUCGAUAUCAAGGGACAACCUCAAUCAUUGUUAUACUCGGUAUAUAUAUAUGCCAUCGGUAACAAGUUUCAUCUGCUAAAACUUGUGCGGAAAAUAUAUAGAAGGAAUCGAUCGAUUGUUCGAUAUUUCGAAAUAAGCUCCUGUAAUAUCCUCGUUUCGAAACCCAAGAUAAAUACAAUGAAAAAUGACUAAGCACCAUAAAGAAUGAAAUU
Apis dorsata (giant honeybee) is the source of this 463-nucleotide long non-coding RNA. RefSeq lists it as uncharacterized. The record is from RefSeq and is a predicted model, not a curated record. The transcript has 2 exons. Lineage: Eukaryota; Metazoa; Arthropoda; Insecta; Hymenoptera; Apidae.